UACGUAGGGUGCAAGCGUUAUCCGGAAUUAUUGGGCGUAAAGAGCUCGUAGGCGGUUUGUCGCGUCUGCUGUGAAAACCUAAGGCUCAACCUUGGGCUUGCAGUGGGUACGGGCAGACUAGAGUGCGGUAGGGGUGACUGGAAUUCCUGGUGUAGCGGUGGAAUGCGCAGAUAUCAGGAGGAACACCGAUGGCGAAGGCAGGUCACUGGGCCGCAACUGACGCUGAGGAGCGAAAGCAUGGGGAGCGAACAGG
This 253-nucleotide ribosomal RNA is filed under the name uncultured bacterium. Its description in RNAcentral is "partial 16S ribosomal RNA". It matches the Rfam family "Bacterial small subunit ribosomal RNA", at positions 524 to 776 of the family's 1533-position model. The record is from RNAcentral.